This 253-nucleotide ribosomal RNA is filed under the name uncultured bacterium. RNAcentral describes it as "partial 16S ribosomal RNA". It matches the Rfam family "Bacterial small subunit ribosomal RNA", at positions 524 to 776 of the family's 1533-position model. The record is from RNAcentral.
UACGUAGGUGGCAAGCGUUGUCCGGAAUUAUUGGGCGUAAAGCGCGCGCAGGUGGUUCUUUAAGUCUGAUGUGAAAGCCCACGGCUCAACCGUGGAGGGUCAUUGGAAACUGGGGAACUUGAGUGCAGAAGAGGAAAGUGGAAUUCCACGUGUAGCGGUGAAAUGCGUAGAGAUGUGGAGGAACACCAGUGGCGAAGGCGACUUUCUGGUCUGCAACUGACACUGAGGCGCGAAAGCGUGGGGAGCGAACAGG